UUUUUUUUUUUUUUUUUUUUUUUUUUUUUUUUUUUUUUUUUCUC
Molecule: non-coding RNA, 44 nt
Filed under: Alexandrium minutum
Lineage: Eukaryota; Dinophyceae; Gonyaulacales; Pyrocystaceae
Source: RNAcentral